RNAcentral lists this long non-coding RNA (223 nucleotides) under Elaeis guineensis (African oil palm). Its description in RNAcentral is "long non-coding RNA (EGUI_LNC039375)". The record is from RNAcentral. Lineage: Eukaryota; Viridiplantae; Streptophyta; Magnoliopsida; Arecales; Arecaceae.
UAAUGAGCUCCUCCAUUCAUCUACCGAACUGCUCCAAAUGUUCUCUGGACUUCACUAUCAGUCGAUUUUUUACUGUGAUCGACUACUCUCCGAAUGUCUUCCAGACUUCUUCCAGCCACGAUCAACUUUACUCCGAACUUCUUUCAGACUUCGUCAAUGAUCGAGCUUCUCCAGUGGCAGGAUUUCUACAGUAAUCAGACUCUAUCCAAGUUUCUAUGGUGAU